AUUGAACGCUGGCGGAAUGCUUUACACAUGCAAGUCGAGCGGCAGCGCGGGGCAACCUGGCGGCGAGCGGCGAACGGGUGAGUAAUGUAUCGGAACGUAUCCUUAAGUGGGGGACAACUAGUCGAAAGACUAGCUAAUACCGCAUACGAUCGAGAGAUGAAAGUGGGGGACCGCAAGGCCUCACGCUUUUGGAGCGGCCGAUAUCCGAUUAGCUUGUUGGUGAGGUAAAGGCUUACCAAGGCUAUGAUCGGUAGCUGGUCUGAGAGGAUGAUCAGCCACACUGGGACUGAGACACGGCCCAGACUCCUACGGGAGGCAGCAGUGGGGAAUUUUGGACAAUGGGGGCAACCCUGAUCCAGCCAUUCCGCGUGAGUGAAGAAGA
RNAcentral lists this ribosomal RNA (382 nucleotides) under uncultured bacterium. RNAcentral's name for it is "bacterial SSU rRNA". It matches the Rfam family "Bacterial small subunit ribosomal RNA", at positions 30 to 414 of the family's 1533-position model. The record is from RNAcentral.